AGAGUUUGAUCAUGGCUCAGAUUGAACGCUGGCGGCAGGCUUAACACAUGCAAGUCGAACGGUAACAGGAAGGAAGCUUGCUUUCUUUGCUGACGAGUGGCGGACGGGUGAGUAAUGCUUGGGAAUCUGGCUUAUGGAGGGGGAUAACUACGGGAAACUGUAGCUAAUACCGCGUAAUAUCUUCGGAUUAAAGGGUGGGACCGUAAGGCCACCUGCCAUAAGAUGAGCCCAAGUGGGAUUAGGUAGUUGGUGGGGUAAAGGCCUACCAAGCCGACGAUCUCUAGCUGGUCUGAGAGGAUGACCAGCCACACUGGAACUGAGACACGGUCCAGACUCCUACGGGAGGCAGCAGUGGGGAAUAUUGCACAAUGGGGGGAACCCUGAUGCGGCCAUGCCGUGUGAAUGAAGAAGGCCUUCGGGUUGUAAAGUUCUUUCGGUGAUGAGGAAGGCGGUUGUUUUAAUAGAACAAUCGAUUGACGUUAGUCACAGAAGAAGCACCGGCUAACUCCGUGCCAGCAGCCGCGGUAAUACGGAGGGUGCGAGCGUUAAUCGGAAUGACUGGGCGUAAAGGGCACGCAGGCGGUGACUUAAGUGAGAUGUGAAAGCCCCGGGCUUAACCUGGGAAUUGCAUUUCAUACUGGGUCGCUAGAGUAUUUUAGGGAGGGGUAGAAUUCCACGUGUAGCGGUGAAAUGCGUAGAGAUGUGGAGGAAUACCGAAGGCGAAGGCAGCCCCCUGGGAAUAUACUGACGCUCAUGUGCGAAAGCGUGGGGAGCAAACAGGAUUAGAUACCCUGGUAGUCCACGCUGUAAACGCCGUCGAUUUGGGGAUUGGGCUUUAAGCUUGGUGCCCGUAGCU
RNAcentral lists this ribosomal RNA (856 nucleotides) under uncultured bacterium. Its description in RNAcentral is "bacterial SSU rRNA". It matches the Rfam family "Bacterial small subunit ribosomal RNA", at positions 8 to 853 of the family's 1533-position model. The record is from RNAcentral.